This 1256-nucleotide long non-coding RNA is filed under the name Homo sapiens (human). Its description in RNAcentral is "HSALNT0173105". Lineage: Eukaryota; Metazoa; Chordata; Mammalia; Primates; Hominidae. The record is from RNAcentral.
UCAGCACCCUGUGUUUAGCUCAAGGUUUGUGAGUGCACCAAUGGACACUCUGUAUCUAGCUGCUCUGGUGGGGCCUUGGAGAACCUUUGUGUCCAGACUCUGUAUCUAACUAAUCUGAUGGGGACGUGGAGAACCUUUGUAUCUAGCUCAGGGAUUGUAAACGCACCAAUCAGCGCCCUGACAAAACAGGCCACUCGGCUCUACCAAUCAGCAGGAUGUGGGUGGGGCCAGAUAAGAGAAUAAAAGCAGGCUGCCCGGGCCAGCAUUGGCAACCAGCUCAGGUCCCCUUCCACACUGUGGAAGCUUUGUUCUUUCACUCUUUGCAAUAAAUCUUGCUACUGCUCACUCUUUGGGUUCACACUGUUUUCAUGAGCUGUAACACUCACCGCGAAGAUCUGCAGCUUCACUCCUGAGCCCAGCGAGCCAGCGAGCCCACGAGCCCACCAGGAGGAACGAACAACUCCAGACGCGCCGCCUUCAGAGCUGUAACACUCACCACAAAGGUCUGCAGCUUCACUCCUGAGCCAGCAAGACCAGGAACCCACCAGAAGGAAGAAACUCCGAACACAUCUGAACAUCAGAAGGGACAGACUCCAGACAUGCCACCUUAAGAGCUGUAACACUCACCGCGAGAGUCCGCGGCUUCAUUCUUGAAGUCAGUGAGACCAAGAACCCACCAAUUCUGGACACAAUAGAUGUGUUUGCUUCUCUCUCCACCAUGAUUUUAAGUUUCCUGAGGCCUCCGCAGCCCUGCAAAACUGCCUCUGAGCCCAAGCCAAGCCAUCGCAUCCCCUUGCAAUUGCCAAGCCAUUGCACGUAUACGCCCAGAUGGCCUGAAGUAACUGAAGAAUCACAAAAGAAGUGAAAAGGCCCUGCCCCGCCUUAACUGAUGACAUUCCACCAUUGUGAUUUGUUCCUGCCCCACCUUAACUGAGUGAUUAACCCUGUGAAUUUCCUUCUCCUGGAUCAGAAGCUCCCCCACUGAGCACCUUGUGACCCCCGCCCCUGCCCACCAGAGAACAACCCCCUUUGACUGUAAUUUUCCAUUACCUUCCCAAAUCCUAUAAAACAGCCCCACCCCUAUCUUCCUUCGCUGACUCUCUUUUUGGACUCAGCCUGCCUGCACCCAGGUGAAAUAAACAGUCAUGUUGCUCACACAAAGCCUGUUUGGUGGUCUCUUCACACGGACGCGCAUGAAACUAAUGACAGCUGGCUCCAGUCCUCUUGAAUUUUGCUAAUCUGGUUAUUAAAAAGCG